GGCCUGGCUGAGUGGUCUUGCCGCAAGGUAAGUACUGCUCUGGUCGGGUCUUUCCUUCUGGGGAACCAGCGUGCUCUUAAUUGAGUGCGCUGGGGAUCCAGGACUUUUACUUUGAAAAAAUUAGAGUGUUCAAAGCAGGCUUCACGCUUGAAUACAUUAGCAUGGAAUAAUGAAAUAGGA
Molecule: ribosomal RNA, 180 nt
Filed under: uncultured Glomeromycotina
Lineage: Eukaryota; Fungi; Glomeromycota
Description: partial small subunit ribosomal RNA
Rfam family: Eukaryotic small subunit ribosomal RNA (bases 91-180)
Source: RNAcentral